This 3236-nucleotide long non-coding RNA is filed under the name Marmota monax (woodchuck). The record is from RNAcentral. Lineage: Eukaryota; Metazoa; Chordata; Mammalia; Rodentia; Sciuridae.
GUGUCAUGCUGCCUGCAGCCAGCCACUAUCAGAAACUAGGAGAAACUUGGAACAAAUCCUUCCCCAGGGUUUCAGCAGAAUCAUGGCCCAAAUGACACAUGGAUUUCAAACUUUCUGACUUCCAGAAUUGUGACAUGAUAAGUUUUUAUUGUUUUAAGCCACCCAGUUCCAUAUCACCUUGUUGUGGAAGCCCUAGCAAACCCAAACUGGCUGAUAAUCAAUAUGUUCUUUUAUAGCCACCAGUUGUCCAGAUUAUUGAUUUUUCUGAUUGGUACAUAGAUGGUGCAUCACUAUUCUGAGUCCUCCAGACAACUCUGGCCUCCCUGCCCACUCAGACUCUUGGGAUGCCUGGACUUUGCCUAUGAUACAAAAUUAAAGCCAACUACAUCUUUAAAGCUACAACCACCUACUCAGACUGGAUUCCCUGUUUCCUGCAAGAAAGUUUGAAGAACAUACCCAUUCUCCUCAACCUACUGUUAUCUCACUGCUUCUUAUGAUCACACUAUUUUCACAUGGUAAAUAUUUACCACCUAGUUCUCCAGCGAAGAAGGCAAAUUAUUUGUUACAUUUGGAGACUGGGAAAUCUGUACCCCUUAGCCCUCUCUCCACCAUGUAAGCAAAUCCUCUGCCUGGUGAUCUGCUUUCUGGGUUUCAGGUGGCUGCCUAAUGAAAAACCGUCAUCCCUACAGGCCUAAAAUAAUACCGGUCGAGGGGGAACAAAUGCAAACUACAGUUUUAAUAUGGACCCUGACUUCCCAAGGAGAUUAUGUUUCAGAACCUGUAUUUGUGCAUUUCAGUUACCAUGGAUACAAGCAGCCAUGUGGGUAAGUAGCUAGCUGUUAGGUAGUAGUCAGAGGAGACCUAUGAUUACCCUAGAUCUCAGCUGAUUCAAGGAAUAAUAAGAUAUCCUCUAUCUGAUACUCAACUAUUCAAGGUAACAUCCAGAGUAGUUUACUUUAUUCCAAUAACACUAUUAAGUCACAUUUGUUGCAUUAAUGAAUGAAUUGUUUAUUUAAUGGAUAUGUACUGAGGGUCUGAGUGUGAGCGUAUGGUACACAAUCAGGAAGGGAUAUCAAAGUACACAAAACAAUCAGGAAGGGAAGUCAAAGUCAAAUAUAUAUAUAGCUUUAUUCUCCAAGGAUCUCAUUCUAGUUCAGAAGGCAGGUAUCCAUUAUGGUAAAUUUUAAAAGAGAUAAAUUUUCUAAACUACAAAAGGAACCAUUCUUGGUAGAACAGAAUCAAGAUGGAAAAGGCUACACAAAACGAAGUGGGUGGAAGCUGAGUCCUAAAUGGUGGGUGGGCUUGGGAGGGUGGGCUUUGAAGAUAAAGAGCACCGUUAGCAUUGAAAGAAGGGGGCAUGGAAAAUACAGAGUCAUGAAACAUCACGAACGCUAGGAGACUGCUAAGAAUAAUUCUCUUUCAAACAGACAGUUCUGGCAUUAUGGAAAGUACUAACGAAUAAAGCCUCCAGAGUUUGAGAAUCUUAGUCAUAGGAACAGGGUCAAAAUCUGGAAAGAGCUCCUCAGCAUGGGAGCAAACUAUGACAAAAUCCACAACUCCACAUCUUUAGAAAUAGUGACAUCAUUGUCAGAGCAAAAACCUAGCAAGUUAAACAUUUCAAAUGACAUUAAGUUUACUCAUUUCACAAACAGAUUUCAAUAGUCUUUGGAGGACACCCCAGAAGAAUAAAUAUCAACUGAGAAUGAGAAAACAACUACUCCCCCCAAAAAUACCACAUCCAGUUACUAGAGCACUCUGAGAAAAUGUGCACAUAUACGGUCCCUCCACAAUGUCCCUCUAGUCACUGAAAUCAGCCAAGGUUUCUAGUCUACUGUUUGUAAAGGUAAUGACACUAGAAAGCAUCUCUUCAAAACCCUUACGUAUCAAAAGCUGUCUUCAUCAAGUUGAUAGUUUCUGCUCAUUUAAAAAUUUUGUUCAUGGAAUUAUCUAUUUCUAAAAGCCCAAGUGGAAAACAAGAUAUCUAUGUAUUUUCACUUUGCUGGUGGUUAAUUAAACAGAUGGUGACUUCCUUAUCCUGUGACACUUCUGUAUGAUGAACAAGAUAAAUAAGUUAAUCAGAACACAGUUUGUAUAAUUAAAAUACAUAUGUUAUUUAGACAUAAGGAGCAGAAACAUUAUUAUAAUAGGCUUCAAACUGAAAAUCAAAUGAAGAUAUUAAGUAGAAUUACAAAAGAGUUGAAACAUGUCCAGAAACUCCGAUAAUUUUCCAAAGCUGACAAACAAUGGCCAAUAGGUAUAUAUAGAAAGGUACUCAACAUCAAUAGUCAUCAGGAAAUGCGAAUCAAAACCACAGUGAGAUAUUACCUCACACCUGUUAGGAUCUAUCAGCAAAAAGACAAGUGAUGACAAGUGUCAGGUACAGGGGAGAGAAAGGGAGAUCUUGUCCACUCCUGGUGGCACCGCAAACUGAUCCAGUCAUUAUGGGAAACAGUGUAGAGAUGCCUCAGAAAAUGAGAACUAGAACCCUAUGACUCGGGACAUGUAUUCUGAGUACAUAUCCAAAGGAUCCAAAGGAAAUGAAACCCGUACCUUAAAGAGCUAUGUGCACGCCCAUGUUCAUUGCAACAUGAUUCCCAAUAGAUAAGACAGAAAGAAUCUGAGCAUCCAUCAACAGAUAGAUCAAUAAUGAAAUUACUAUGUUAAAUAUUAUUCAGUGCUAAAUAUUAUUCAGCCUAAAAAAGAAGGAGAUUCUGCUAUUAGUGAUAACAUAGACAUACUUAAAGGAAAUUAUGCUAAGUGAAAUGAACAGGAAGACAGAUCACAUGAUAUCAUUAAUAUGGAAUUUUAAAAGGUCUAACUUAGAAAAAUUGAGUACAAUGGUGUUUGCCAGAUAACAGAAGGAGUGGUAGAUUUGGGAAGAUCUGUAAAAGGGUAAAACCCCUCAGUUAUAACAUGAAUAAGUUCCAGAUAUCUAUAGUGCAACAGGGUAACUUCAGCUAAUAAUAGUGUCUUUCAUACCUGAAAUCUGGGGAGACAGUAAAUCUUAAGUAUCACAAUACCUACAAAAAAUGACAAGUGAAGUACUGAAUUUGUUAAGUCACUUGAUUGUGCAAAUCAUUAUACAAGAAUACUUAUGUCAAAACACCAUGUAGUACACCUUAAAUAUAUACAAGUUUCGAUUUGUCGAUCAUACCUCAAUAAAGCUGGAGAAAACAAAAAUCAAAUAAAAUACUGGAAGGAGUCUGUUCUUGUAAGAAUGGGGGCCAUGAGUCUCA